RNAcentral lists this small RNA (83 nucleotides) under Marmota monax (woodchuck). Lineage: Eukaryota; Metazoa; Chordata; Mammalia; Rodentia; Sciuridae. The record is from RNAcentral.
GCCAGACAUGGUGCUGCAUGCCUGUAAUCCCAGCAACUUGGGAGGCUGAGGCAGGAGGAUCCCAAGUUCAAAACCAGCCUUAG